ACGGCGUGAGGUCGCAUUAGCUCGCGCACAACUGAUUGCAUCUCACUUGCGCCAUGCUAGUGAGUGUGGGGCCGAAACCUGAGGUGGCUGGCACAGCCCAAGUACCCCUUGGGCCCACGAGGACGAAUGUGCACGGCGCAUUUCCCAUCAUCGCCGCUUCGUCCAGGUCGGCGCAUGCGAUGUCUCCUGGCACGUGGUCCUCCUCUUUAAAACCCAAGGUCGAGUGCAACGUCACAAAGCCGGACACCUCCAGCUGGAAACUCUCGGAUUUCGAACUGAAGAACACGCUCGGCACCGGCUCCUUCGGCCGCGUGCGCAUCGCCCACCGCAAGGGCACGGAGGAGUACUACGCGAUCAAGUGCCUGAGAAAGCGCGAGAUCAUCAAGAUGAAGCAGCAGCAGCACGUUGCGCAGGAAAAGGGGAUCCUAAUGGAGCUGUGCCACCCGUUCAUCGUGAACAUGAUGUGCUCCUUCCAGGACGAGAAGAAGGUGUACUUUGUGCUGGAGUUCGUCAUGGGCGGCGAGAUGUUCACACACCUGCGCACUGCCGGGCGGUUCCCGAAUGACGUUGCGAAGUUCUACCACGCGGAGCUGGUGCUUGCGUUCGAGUAUCUGCACUCGCUGGACGUGAUCUACCGCGAUCUGAAGCCGGAGAAUCUUCUGCUGGACAACAAGGGGCACGUGAAGGUGACGGACUUUGGGUUUGCGAAGAAGGUGCCAGACCGGACGUUCACGCUGUGCGGGACACCGGAAUAUCUUGCGCCGGAGGUGAUCCAGAGCAAGGGCCACGGGAAGGCGGUGGACUGGUGGACGAUGGGCGUGCUGCUGUACGAAUUCAUUGCCGGAUACCCGCCGUUCUACGACGACACGCCGUUCCGAAUUUACGAGAAGAUCCUUGCUGGGCGGCUGAAGUUCCCGAACUGGUUCGACGGCCGUGCGCGCGACCUCGUGAAGGGGCUGCUGCAGACAGACCAUACGAAGCGCCUGGGGACGCUGAAAGGCGGGCCGGCGGACGUGAAGAGCCACCCGUACUUCCACGGUGCGAACUGGGACAAGCUGUACGCACGCUACUACCCCGCGCCGAUCCCUGUGCGGGUGAAGAGCCCUGGCGACACGAGCAACUUCGAGAAGUACCCGGACAGCCCGGUCGACCGCACGCCUGCGCUGACGUCGGCGCAGCAGGCCGAAUUCAAGGAGUUUUAAAUACAGCUGCUGCCUCGCGGUAUUAUUUUCACGUGUGCAUCUCGUUCUAUGGGCAUAUGUUUGUGCUCAGUCUCGAGGUCUGGUGUGUGGUUUGAGCUGCUGCAGCCUGUAUCCAUCUGAAGGCGCUUCUGUUAUUUUUGCCUUUUCUGCACUGCUAGCUUCCCGAGCUUCUGUUAUGGGGAAAGAUCUGUAUUUUGCGCGCCUACGGUAACCUGUUCGGAACCCCUCUUAUUUCAUAAUUUGCACUCGACUCAUCGAAUUUCUAACGUCGACUUUACAUGUUUGUCUAUCUUCCUCUUCUCUGCCCUGAAUGUAGUUGUACACACGUGUGCACGUGUAUGCGUGUGUGCGCGUGUGGCCGGUCUUCUCUUCGUCUCCGUUUUUAUCGUCUCUUUAUGUUCAUUUUUUUUUUGUUUCCGAAAAGGGGUUGUGUGUGUGUGUGAGGGGGGGGGCACACGGCUGCGCGUGCUGCUUUUUUUUUUUCGCUUCGCUUUGUUUCUGAUGUGCCUUCAAAAAGAGAAGGAAGAACGGGGGGGAGACACGACCGUGGAAUGAGCACCAUGCUCUCUGUAGCUGAUGUUGUCAUGAACCGUUGGCGUGCCUUUUCCUUUCUUUGUUCUGUUUGUAUUAUUCUCAUCUCACAUCCCCAGUCCUUUGCAUGCAGCCGUGAGUACAGCACAAACGAAACGCGUUGCGGCGUCUUUCUGUUCCCACUUCGUCGACUUCGCGGCGCCGUGAUACGAGGGCAGGAUGGCGGUUUGCUCUCCCUCUUCUUGCUUGCUUGUUCGAUGUGCAGCGUGCGUUUUCUUCGUUAUUUAUUUAUUCUUGCACGAUGAAAUAAACGGACGCCUGUUUGUAUUCUUUGUUCUUGUCUCGGCCUCUGUGCUCCGUGUGUACGGGAUUUGUGAUGGAACCACACAUGUGUAGGGGCACUGCGGAGUGAGGGAGAGAGAGAAGGGGGAGGGGUGCCCGCCCCCCGCCCCCUCCUCCGACUUUCGUAGUCGCGUGUAACCGACAACGACGACUACUACACGGCUCUCUUUUUUUUUCGCGCCAUACGUCUCUUCGCCCUCGCUUGCCUUUGCGAUUUUCUGUCGUUAGCGAUUUUGCGCAAUACGUAUGCUUAAGCAUAUGCAUGUAUAUGUAUAUAUAUGUUUGGGUGCAUGUACGGUUAAUGAAGCCCAUUCGCGUGAUGGCUUUCAUUUUGGCCUCGCGGUGUGCACCUCCAGGUUGCGCCAUGUGUAUUGGAGGGCGUGUUCAUUGUCUUUUGCCCUCAAUCUUCGUGUGCGCCGCCUUCCUUUCCCUCGUCUGCUCGGUGAUAUACCAAGAGUGGCUUAGCGUUUUUUUCCCCCGUGUACCAGUUUUCUCUAGAAGUCCGAUGUAUGCGAACUUUCGAGUGUACUUCUCUCUUCCUCUGCACGCUGAGCGUUGUGUGCUUGCAUGGAACCGCACUGUUAGGGGCAUGUCUGUGCGUGUGUCUUCCAGUCGUUGAAGACUGUAGUCGCCUUGUGUUUCUCCUUUGCUUCGUCUUUCGCGUCUCUCUCCAUGUCUUCGUCUCGCGCUUCUUGUCAUGUGGGAAAGGGGCACCAUCACCUUCCCCCCCCCCCCCCCCCGUGGAAAGGGUGAGGCUCUGCGUAUCACAUGCACACAUGAGCAGAACGCUACAUAUAGAUGCGCUGCAAAUAUGUUCUUGUUGGUGUCUCGAUUUUUGAAUGGCUUGACCAGUGUGGAGAGAGGGGAAGUGCAACCUCGACACACACACACACACACACACACACACACACACACACACACACGCAGAGAACAACAAAGCGAUGCAGACGUAAUAAAAGAAAAACAGACAAACAAGGAGAGAGCCAUGCAACUCAGUGUCGUGCGCCAUAAAUUUCACUGUCGUAGGUAACCUCAGCGGCACUGCUCGCUGAUGUGGACUCGUGCACGGUAGUAGUAGUCGCUGCACACUGUCUCCUCUCUUGUUUUCCUUACGGUUUUCACUCUCCUUUUGUUUAGCUUCUUCCUCUUGUCUUUUUCUCGCCUUUGCAAUCAG
RNAcentral lists this unclassified non-coding RNA (3249 nucleotides) under Leishmania donovani. RNAcentral's name for it is "gene:LdHU3.35.5190(CDS-product:protein_kinase_A_c atalytic_subunit_isoform_1)". Lineage: Eukaryota; Euglenozoa; Kinetoplastea; Trypanosomatida; Trypanosomatidae. The record is from RNAcentral.